ACUAGAGUAGCACUCGCAUAUCAAUAAGCGGAGGAAAAGAAACUAACAAGGAUUCCCCUAGUAACGGCGAGUGAAGCGGGAAGAGCUCAAAUUUGAAAUCUUAAAGGGUUUCCCUUUACGAAUUGUAGUUUAAAGAAGUGUUUUCUGUUGAGGUUUUGGUAAAAGUUCUUUGGAAUAGGACAUCAUAGAGGGUGAGAAUCCCGUAUUUGACCUUUACUUUCAACUUUGUGAUACACUUUCAAAGAGUCGGAUUGUUUGGGAAUGCAGUCCAAAAUGGGUGGUAAAUUUCAUCUAAAGCUAAAUAUUGGCGAGAGACCGAUAGCGAACAAGUACCGUGAGGGAAAGAUGAAAAGAACUUUGAUAAGAGAGUUAAACAGUACGUGAAAUUGUCAAAAGGGAAGCGUUUGACACCAGUGUUGUUUUUCUGAAAAUCAAUUAAAGAACUGUUUAUGCUAAGUUGUUUAGACUUUAUCAGCUAUCUGUUUAGUUUUAGGCUUUUCUUUAAUGCACUUUUCAGUUAACAAGUCAACAUCAAUUUCUUUUGCUGUAAAAAAGCUUGAGGAAGGUGGCUUGAGAUUCGUCUUAGGUGUUUAUAGCCUCUUGCCUAUGCAGUCGGAGAGAUUGAGGUCUGCAGCGUAGAUCCUUCGGGGCUAAAUGCAUUUGUGCUAAGUUAUAGCAUUUUAUAGACAACUUGUUGACUAUGAUUUGUCUUGUAGCUUACUCGCUUAUGUUAUUUUACCUACGCUUAGGAUGUUGAGCGCAUGUCUCUCUCU
Molecule: ribosomal RNA, 773 nt
Filed under: uncultured Neocallimastigales
Lineage: Eukaryota; Fungi; Neocallimastigomycota; Neocallimastigomycetes; Neocallimastigales
Description: partial large subunit ribosomal RNA
Rfam family: Eukaryotic large subunit ribosomal RNA
Source: RNAcentral